RNAcentral lists this ribosomal RNA (478 nucleotides) under uncultured bacterium. RNAcentral's name for it is "partial 16S ribosomal RNA". It matches the Rfam family "Bacterial small subunit ribosomal RNA", at positions 28 to 523 of the family's 1533-position model. The record is from RNAcentral.
GACGAACGCUGGCGGCGUGCUUAACACAUGCAAGUCGAACGGUAAGGCCUUUCGGGGUACACGAGUGGCGAACGGGUGAGUAACACGUGGGUGAUCUGCCCUGCACUUCGGGAUAAGCCUGGGAAACUGGGUCUAAUACCGGAUAGGACCACUGCCUGCAUGGGUGGUGGUGGAAAGAUUUUGGGGCGUGGGAUGGGCCCGCGGCCUAUCAGCUUGUUGGUGGGGUGAUGGCCGACCAAGGCGACGACGGGUAGCCGGCCUGAGAGGGUGACCGGCCACACUGGGACUGAGAGACGGCCCAGACUCCUACGGGAGGCAGCAGUGGGGAAUAUUGCACAAUGGGCGCAAGCCUGAUGCAGCGACGCCGCGUGAGGGAUGACGGCCUUCGGGUUGUAAACCUCUUUCAGCACCGACGAAGCGCAAGUGACGGUAGGUGCAGAAGAAGGACCGGCCAACUACGUGCCAGCAGCCGCGGUAA